GUUUGGUCCUAGCCUUUUUAUCAACUUUUUCUUAUCUUACACAUGCAAGUAUCAGCACACCAGUGAGAACGCCCUCUACCCCUUUUUCAGGACGAGGAGCUGGUAUCAGGCACUUUUUUUGCCCACGACACCUAGCUUUGCCACACCCACAAGGGUCAUCAGCAGUGAUAAACAUUGUUCAUAAGCGACAGCUUGAACCAGUUAGAGUUAAUAGAGCCGGCUAAUCCGGUGCCAGCCGCCGCGGCUACACCGUUGGGCUCAAGUUGAUAAACACUCGGCGUUAAGCGUGAUUAAAGUGAAAAACAAAUUAGAGUUAAAUUAUCACCAAGUUGUGACACACUUGUCCUGAGGAAACCCAAAAACGAAAGUUACUCUAACCAACCCACUUGACACCACGAUAGCUAGGGAACAAACUGGGAUUAGGUACCCCACUAUGCCUAGCCAUAAAAUAUUUACCCACACUUAAAACCGCCNGGGAAUUACGAGCUCAAGCUUAAAACCCAAAGGACUUGACGGUACCCCAAAUCCACCUAGAGGAGCCUGUCCUAUAAUCGAUAACCCCCGUUUAACCUCACCAUUCCUUGUCUAUCAGCCUGUAUACCUCCGUCGCCAGCUUACCGCGUGAGCGCCAUAAGUGAGCUUAAUGCCCAUACGCCAACACGUCAGGUCAAGGUGCAGCUAAUGAAAUGGGAAGAGAUGGGCUACACUUUCUACUGUAGAAGAAACGAAAGACUACCUAUGAAAUCUAGUCAGAAGGAGGAUUUAGUAGUAAAAAGAAAACAGAGUGUUCUUUUUAAUCCGGCA
This 804-nucleotide non-coding RNA is filed under the name Leptodactylus tapiti. Its description in RNAcentral is "partial 12S ribosomal RNA". It matches the Rfam family "Bacterial small subunit ribosomal RNA", at positions 11 to 1373 of the family's 1533-position model. The record is from RNAcentral. Lineage: Eukaryota; Metazoa; Chordata; Amphibia; Anura; Leptodactylidae.